Molecule: ribosomal RNA, 513 nt
Filed under: Bacillus anthracis (anthrax bacterium)
Lineage: Bacteria; Bacillati; Bacillota; Bacilli; Caryophanales; Bacillaceae
Description: bacterial SSU rRNA
Rfam family: Bacterial small subunit ribosomal RNA
Source: RNAcentral
CGCCUGGGGAGUACGGCCGCAAGGCUGAAACUCAAAGGAAUUGACGGGGGCCCGCACCAGCGGUGGAGCAUGUGGUUUAAUUUGAAGCAACGCGAAGAACCUUACCAGGUCUUGACAUCCUUUGACAACCCUAGAGAUAGGGGUUUUCCUUUGGGAGCAGAAUGACCGGUGGUGCAUGGUUGUUGUCAGCUUGUGUUGUGAGAUGUUGGGUUAAGUCCCGCAACGAGCGCAACCCUUGAUUUUAGUUGCCAUCCUUAAGUUGGGCACUUUAAGGUGACUGCCGGUGACAAACCGGAGGAAGGUGGGGAAGACGUCAAAUCAUCCUGCCCCUUAUGACCUGGGCUACCCACGUGGUACAAUGGACGGUACAAAGAGCUGCAAGACCGCGAGGUGGAGGUAAUUUCAUAAAACCGUUUUCAGUUUGGAUUGUAGGGUGCAACUUGCCUACCUGAAGCCGGAAUCGGUUGUAAUCGCGGAUCAGCCUGCCGCGGUGAAUACGUUCCCGGGCCUUGU